UACGUAGGGGGCAAGCGUUGUCCGGAUUCAUUGGGCGUAAAGCGCGUGUAGGCGGCCAGGUAGGUCCGACGUGAAAACUGGAGGCUCAACCUCCAGCUGUCGUUGGAAACCAUCUGGCUAGAGUCCGGAAGAGGAGAGUGGAAUUCCUGGUGUAGCGGUGAAAUGCGCAGAUAUCAGGAAGAACACCAAUGGCGAAGGCAGCCCUCUGGGACGGUACUGACGCUGAGACGCGAAAGCGUGGGGAGCGAACAGG
This 253-nucleotide ribosomal RNA is filed under the name uncultured bacterium. Its description in RNAcentral is "partial 16S ribosomal RNA". It matches the Rfam family "Bacterial small subunit ribosomal RNA", at positions 524 to 776 of the family's 1533-position model. The record is from RNAcentral.